CAAAAUGUAGCUUAAAUAAAGCAUCUCGCUUACACCGAAAAAAUACCUGUUUAACCCAGAUCAUUUUGAG
Molecule: transfer RNA, 70 nt
Filed under: Guibemantis pulcher (Tsarafidy Madagascar frog)
Lineage: Eukaryota; Metazoa; Chordata; Amphibia; Anura; Mantellidae
Description: partial tRNA-Val
Rfam family: tRNA
About the family: Transfer RNA (tRNA) molecules are approximately 80 nucleotides in length. Their secondary structure includes four short double-helical elements and three loops (D, anti-codon, and T loops).
Source: RNAcentral